This 478-nucleotide ribosomal RNA is filed under the name uncultured bacterium. RNAcentral's name for it is "bacterial SSU rRNA". It matches the Rfam family "Bacterial small subunit ribosomal RNA", at positions 27 to 518 of the family's 1533-position model. The record is from RNAcentral.
AACGGACGAACGCUGGCGGCGAUGCCUAACACAUGCAAGUCGAACGGGGGUAGCAAUACCCUAGUGGCGAACGGGUGAGUAACACAUAAGCAAUCUCGCCCUUCACAGGGGGAUAACAGCGGGAAACUGCUGCUAAUACCGCAUAAGACCACGGUACCGCAUGGUACAGGGGUAAAAACGAAUCAGUGGUGAAGGAUGAGCUUAUGUCCCCAUUAGCUAGUUGGUGAGAUAACAGCCCACCAAGGCGACGAUGGGUAGCCGACCUGAGAGGGUGAUCGGCCACACUGGAACUGAGACACGGUCCAGACUCCUACGGGAGGCAGCAGUGGGGAAUAUUGGGCAAUGGAGGAAAAACCUCUUACCCAGCAAUGCCGCGUGAGUGAAGAAGGUCUUCGGAUUGUAAAGCUCUUUGAUUGGGGACGAAGAAAGUGACGGUACCCAAAGAACAAGCCCCGGCUAACUACGUGCCAGCCGCUGC